Molecule: long non-coding RNA, 641 nt
Organism: Cervus elaphus (red deer)
Lineage: Eukaryota; Metazoa; Chordata; Mammalia; Artiodactyla; Cervidae
Exons: 4
Source: RefSeq, a predicted model, not a curated record
GGAAGGUUGGGCAGAGGCUGCAGGCUGCAGAGGCGCAGAGGGGCCGCGGGGCAGAGCGAUCCCGCCAGAAAGCGGCUCUCCAGCCUCUGCGCCUUCGGGAACCACACGGCCCGCGGGCGCCCUGGAAAGGCCCCUACAGGGGCCUCUGCACACAUACUCACAAUAACUCUUCACCGGAAUGUAUUAUCUCCAUUCUGUAGAUAAGGGAACUAAAACCCAGAGCUGCAGGAGACUGGCCAGAGGUCACACAAGUGACGGAGAUGGUGUCAGUGAGGUUCAGAGAGUGUGUGGAACUUCUCUGAGUCUAAGUGGAUUGGGCACAGUACUGCCUGCUUCUGAAUCCAGCAAGGACAGAGAAUACCAGGCAGUCUCUGAAACGCACCAAGAAACUAAUAGAGAAGGUGGCAUUCGACAUCUGCAGUGGCAUGAUGCUCUUGAAAUCACAGUAAGAAGAGAGGGAACACCCAGUAAGGGAAGAAAACAGAAAUCAUCUAUAAGGUGGAAUCUACAGUGCAUGCAUCCAAUAUGACUUCUGCCUUUUUAAAACAGGCACCCUGUGUCUUCUGAAGAACUCCUGUUUCUUUGUGCCAUCAACUUAAGAAUCUAAUGGGGAUGUUGAUCAUUAAAGCUUGACACCCAGU